This 126-nucleotide microRNA precursor is filed under the name Lotus japonicus. RNAcentral describes it as "miR11120 stem-loop (lja-MIR11120)". Lineage: Eukaryota; Viridiplantae; Streptophyta; Magnoliopsida; Fabales; Fabaceae. The record is from miRBase by way of RNAcentral.
GGCGUUGAAUUAAUUUUUGGUUGGAAAGUCCUCGAACCAUUAUUUUUUUAAAAUUUUCAUACGAGAAUAAAUUUUAGUAGAAUUAUUGUUCACGGAUUCUUCCCGCCAAAAAGUUAUUCUAAUGCC